GCCCUGACUUAUCGUCCUGAAUAUUGUUAAACCAUUGCAUGAGAUCGGGCGAUUUCUCAUGUUAUCUGGGUAUAACCACUAGGAAGAGAUUGUGCUCGUUCUGCUUUGGUUGAUGUCCAUCAGUUAGAAACUGAAAGAAAAUAAAAUUGAGAGCACAGCAGCCUUUUACUGAACAUGUACUAAGAAUACUUCAAUACUGCUGUUGUAUACAAAAGCAAACUGAACAUUGCACAUCAGAGGACCAAAACUUGAAGACCAUUAUUGAGCAACUAUGAAGAUGUUCCUGGUGAAUGGUCAAACUCAAUAACUGAUUAUUUACUCUAAUUUCCUUGAUACAGUCUCAAAACAUGAACUGCUGCAAUUUUCAGAUGCACUUCUAGUCUCAUAUAUAUAUGUUUGUGUCUCUUUAUGAUUUUGCAAUGUGAUCUUUCUACAUGCUGGAUGAGAAAAAUAUUGUAAAUGAGGCCAAAAACCGAUUUUUCAUUGAUUAAUGUUGCAUAGAAUGAAAGGAUACAACUUGCCAGCAAAGCAUGAAUAUGCAUUAACUAUUUGCAAAAAGAGUGACAGAAAAUAGUAUUCGAUGACUCUUUUUAAUAUGAACAUAAUUCUGUAAUAUCAAACUUAGGGGAACAUAAUCACUCAGAGAAGAAGGUGCAGAUGAGGAAAAUUAUAAUGAUGUAGAGAAAUACAAUCAGUUAAUCUCUCAUGCUAUAUUUCAUUUUCUACAAAAUGUAUUUCUGAUAAAAUUUGAA
This 752-nucleotide unclassified non-coding RNA is filed under the name Hevea brasiliensis (rubber tree). The record is from RNAcentral. Lineage: Eukaryota; Viridiplantae; Streptophyta; Magnoliopsida; Malpighiales; Euphorbiaceae.